RNA transcript from Symphalangus syndactylus (siamang), 2531 nucleotides. It is a transcript of the gene named formation of mitochondrial complex V assembly factor 1, with no coding region annotated. Lineage: Eukaryota; Metazoa; Chordata; Mammalia; Primates; Hylobatidae. The record is from RefSeq and is a predicted model, not a curated record.
UUUUUUUUUUGAGACGGAGUCUCGCUCUGUCGCCCAGGCUGGAGUGCAGUGGCACGAUCUCGGCUCACUGCAAGCUCCGCCUCCUGGGUUCACGCCAUUCUCCUGCCUCAGCCUCUCCGAGUAGCUGGGACUACAGGCGCCCGCCACCACGCCCGGCUAAUUUUUUUGUAUUUUUAGUAGAGACGGGGUUUCACCGUGAUCUCGAUCUCCUGACCUCGUGAUCCGCCCGCCUCGGACUCCCAAAGUGCUGGGAUUACAAGCGUGAGCCACCGCGCCCGGCGAGACUGGGUUUUAAACAGAAUCUCACAUGUUAAUACAAAUGAGUUUACUAUAUUUUGUAUUUAUUAUCAGGAGCAUUUUUUUUCCUAAAGAUAAGGCUAAGGAGACGAUAGGAAAGAAAAAAAACAUUUAAAAACUUAAAAAGACAAUAAAGUUUUUAAAAAGUUUUUCUAAAAAGAAAAAAUAAAAAGGCAGGAUCAUCAAAGCAUUGCUUUUUUUCCCACGAAGUAGGCACGCCACACGUAUUUACCUUUUCUUAACUUCAAAUCCUGUCGCCCUUUUUUUCUUCUUUCUUUACAGACUAGAAGUCUGUGGGCUGUUUUGUUUGGCAUGCAGUACUUUUAAAGUAUUCAUUAGUGGCCAAUAUUUAGAAGGAAAGCUAUAGCAUUAAAACAGAUUUCCAGAGUUUCCUGAAAAAAAAAAAAUGUUUUUUAAAGGAUUUGCUUUCCUAAAAUGGCAACAAUCAGUGGAGGUGAGUAAUGGCUGCACCCUGGACAGGUGGGCUAGGCGCUGUCCAGUUCACCAGGUUUCCAACCAAGCCAGCUUUACUCAUUAAUGAACAAUUGAUGUUUCAUUUGUUUGUCAUUCCUGCUCAGUAGCUUAUGUCUCUUAGCCACUGGGGCCAGACAGUGCCAAUCCCUUUAGGAGCUUCAGACUAAGCUGUUAUGACUAUGCUACCAAGGAAUAAGCCUGGUGAAGAAACAGGCUUUUCUGUUAGGCACAGGGCUUUCGGAGCUCAACAACUUCCCAGUCUGAUGGAAGAGACUGACAACUACAGUAUGGAGUAGUGGCCAUGUACCUACAUUGUUAUUUAUGAUGAGUAAAUAAAGCGAGCAACGGGGGACCAGAGGAGGUGAAAUGAAUAAUUUUCACCUUGCCGUACUGACCUCAAGGGCCUAGAGAAGCGUCUAACCUAGACUUCUGGAGUAAGCUGAAGCCCAAAGGGUAAAGAGGCAUAUUAACACAAAUGGUUAAGUUUCAGGCAGAGGGAAUAUCAGGUAAGGUGUGUGGUGGGGAAGAGACAAUGAAAGUAGAGAUACCUGGAGCAGAGGGUGACAAGAAGCGAAAAGUGAGAGAUGAAGAUUAAGGUACAAGCGAGGAUCAAUUUAUGUCGUCUGAACUUUAUCUCAGGGACAAUGGGAAGCCCCUGUGAUACUAUAAGUAAGGGUAAGUUUACUGGGACUCCGAAGUGAUUUGUUUAAGUUACACAAUUAGGAAGGGAACCAAAAAAUGAACUAAUUUUUAAAAUUAAGUCCUAAUCAAUGUACUAUUACUUCCCCGCUGUCCCAUGUUUAUCGCUGACCCACCAAUUCAAAGGACACGGCACAUGUUUCUUCUUUUUUGAGAUGGAGUUUCGCUCCUGUUGCCCAGUCUGGAGAGCAAUGGCGCGAUCUCGGCUCACUGCAAACUCCGAUUCCAGGGUUCAAGCAAUUCUCCUGCCUCAGCCUCCUGAGUAGCUGGGAUUACAGGCAUGCGCCACCACGCCCGGCUAAUUCUGUAUUUUUAGUAGAGACAGGGUUUCUCCGUGUUGGUCAGGCUGGUUUCAAACCCCCGAACUAAGAUGAUCCGCCCGCCUGGGCCUCCCAAAGUGCUGGGAUUACAAGCGUGAGCCACCGCGCCCAGCCUGCGGAAAUGGCCUCAACGCUUCAACCGGAAAGAGAAACUGACCGCCGCAGGCGCCAUCUAACGGCCGCUGGAGCAAGGCUCCUCCCGGAAAGUCGCAACACCGGAAAAGGUCCGGCUGCUUCCGGUAAAAACCCAACAGAACUGACGUUCAGAGGGCGAGUCUCGAAAAUCCGGCCAAUUUGUCGAGGGCGCUGUGCUCCGCGACGACGCAUGCCCGCUUUUGCGCAGGCGCGGGGACUAGGGCGCAGGCGCGGAGACUAUUGCGCUGGCAAGCGCGUACGCAGAAGCGUGCGCGCGCCCGUUCAACGUCCGGAGCAUCGGUGCAGUUUCGAGGCGUGUUCCAUAUCAAAUCCACACCCACACCCCCCGCCGGGCCCGCUUCUCCUGAGACUCAGCGGUUGGUCGGCUAACGGGCAUCUUCAGUGACGCAGUGAAGAAAGGCCCUUGUUUCCCCAAACCCUUGUUCUGGGUUAGAGGACCUGGUACCGUCACCAGUGAAAAGUUGUGCAGAGCCCAACAUGAGCUUCAUUUCCAAGCUGCCACCUAUCUCUGCCUCCUGCGUAGCAUCCGGGAACAUGUGGCCCUACAUCAGGAAUUUCAUGGCAAGGGUGAGCGCUCAGUGGAGG